RNAcentral lists this ribosomal RNA (174 nucleotides) under uncultured bacterium. RNAcentral's name for it is "partial 16S ribosomal RNA". It matches the Rfam family "Bacterial small subunit ribosomal RNA", at positions 1319 to 1500 of the family's 1533-position model. The record is from RNAcentral.
CAUGAAGCUGGAUUCGCUAGUAAUCGCGCAUCAGCCAUGGCGCGGUGAAUACGUUCCCGGGCCUUGUACACACCGCCCGUCAAGCCAUGGAAGCCGGGAGUGCCUGAAGUGUGCAACCGCAAGGAGCGCCCUAAGGUAAAACUGGUGACUGGGGCUAAGUCGUAACAAGGUAUC